GACGAACGCUGGCGGCGUGCCUAAUACAUGCAAGUCGAACGAACUCUGGUAUUGAUUGGUGCUUGCAUCAUGAUUUACAUUUGAGUGAGUGGCGAACUGGUGAGUAACACGUGGGAAACCUGCCCAGAAGCGGGGGAUAACACCUGGAAACAGAUGCUAAUACCGCAUAACAACUUGGACCGCAUGGUCCGAGUUUGAAAGAUGGCUUCGGCUAUCACUUUUGGAUGGUCCCGCGGCGUAUUAGCUAGAUGGUGGGGUAACGGCUCACCAUGGCAAUGAUACGUAGCCGACCUGAGAGGGUAAUCGGCCACAUUGGGACUGAGACACGGCCCAAACUCCUACGGGAGGCAGCAGUAGGGAAUCUUCCACAAUGGACGAAAGUCUGAUGGAGCAACGCCGCGUGAGUGAAGAAGGGUUUCGGCUCGUAAAACUCUGUUGUUAAAGAAGAGCAUAUCUGAGAGUAACUGUUCAGGUAUUGACGGUAUUUAACCAGAAAGCCACGGCUAACUACGUGCCAGCAGCCGCGGUAAUACGUAGGUGGCAAGCGUUGUCCGGAUUUAUUGGGCGUAAAGCGAGCGCAGGCGGUUUUUUAAGUCUGAUGUGAAAGCCUUCGGCUCAACCGAAGAAGUGCAUCGGAAACUGGGAAACUUGAGUGCAGAAGAGGACAGUGGAACUCCAUGUGUAGCGGUGAAAUGCGUAGAUAUAUGGAAGAACACCAGUGGCGAAGGCGGCUGUCUGGUCUGUAACUGACGCUGAGGCUCGAAAGUAUGGGUAGCAAACAGGAUUAGAUACCCUGGUAGUCCAUACCGUAAACGAUGAAUGCUAAGUGUUGGAGGGUUUCCGCCCUUCAGUGCUGCAGCUAACGCAUUAAGCAUUCCGCCUGGGGAGUACGGCCGCAAGGCUGAAACUCAAAGGAAUUGACGGGGGCCCGCACAAGCGGUGGAGCAUGUGGUUUAAUUCGAAGCUACGCGAAGAACCUUACCAGGUCUUGACAUACUAUGCAAAUCUAAGAGAUUAGACGUUCCCUUCGGGGACAUGGAUACAGGUGGUGCAUGGUUGUCGUCAGCUCGUGUCGUGAGAUGUUGGGUUAAGUCCCGCAACGAGCGCAACCCUUAUUAUCAGUUGCCAGCAUUAAGUUGGGCACUCUGGUGAGACUGCCGGUGACAAACCGGAGGAAGGUGGGGAUGACGUCAAAUCAUCAUGCCCCUUAUGACCUGGGCUACACACGUGCUACAAUGGAUGGUACAACGAGUUGCGAACUCGCGAGAGUAAGCUAAUCUCUUAAAGCCAUUCUCAGUUCGGAUUGUAGGCUGCAACUCGCCUACAUGAAGUCGGAAUCGCUAGUAAUCGCGGAUCAGCAUGCCGCGGUGAAUACGUUCCCGGGCCUUGUACACACCGCCCGUCACACCAUGAGAGUUUGUAACACCCAAAGUCGGUGGGGUAACCUUUUAGGAACCAGCCGCCUAAGGUGGGACAGAUGAUUAGGGUGAAG
This 1492-nucleotide ribosomal RNA is filed under the name Lactiplantibacillus pentosus. Its description in RNAcentral is "bacterial SSU rRNA". It matches the Rfam family "Bacterial small subunit ribosomal RNA". Lineage: Bacteria; Bacillati; Bacillota; Bacilli; Lactobacillales; Lactobacillaceae. The record is from RNAcentral.